CCUACGGGUGGCAGCAGUAGGGAAUCUUCCGCAAUGGGCGAAAGCCUGACGGAGCAACGCCGCGUGAGUGAUGAAGGUCUUAGGAUCGUAAAACUCUGUUGUUAGGGAAGAACAAAUUUGUUAGUAACUGAACAAGUCUUGACGGUACCUAACCAGAAAGCCACGGCUAACUACGUGCCAGCAGCCGCGGUAAUACGUAGGUGGCAAGCGUUAUCCGGAAUUAUUGGGCGUAAAGCGCGCGUAGGCGGUUCCUUAAGUCUGAUGUGAAAGCCCACGGCUCAACCGUGGAGGGUCAUUGGAAACUGGGGAACUUGAGUGCAGAAGAGGAGAGUGGAAUUCCAUGUGUAGCGGUGAAAUGCGCAGAGAUAUGGAGGAACACCAGUGGCGAAGGCGGCUCUCUGGUCUGUAACUGACGCUGAUGUGCGAAAGCGUGGGGAU
This 438-nucleotide ribosomal RNA is filed under the name uncultured bacterium. RNAcentral describes it as "bacterial SSU rRNA". It matches the Rfam family "Bacterial small subunit ribosomal RNA", at positions 338 to 768 of the family's 1533-position model. The record is from RNAcentral.